RNAcentral lists this long non-coding RNA (2221 nucleotides) under Ananas comosus (pineapple). RNAcentral's name for it is "long non-coding RNA (ACOM_LNC023256)". The record is from RNAcentral. Lineage: Eukaryota; Viridiplantae; Streptophyta; Magnoliopsida; Poales; Bromeliaceae.
ACUGAUUAUUUUAUUUUAUAUUUAUACAGUUAUAUAUAUAUUCACCAGGUCAGGUAGUAAUUCAAAUUUGCGCAUACGUUAAUUAUUACGAAACAGAAUAGAUAUAUUAAUUGGAACUAUAUAUAACCUGCGCAUGCAUAUGGUGGUUGUUUAAUUAAUAUCCAUUUGUUCAUCAAUGUACAUCAGACCAUUAAUUAAUUACACUAGAGGAAGUGGAAGCUACUAGUCUGGUGAUGCAAUGCACGCUGUUCGGACGAUAAGUCCCUCGAUCGAUCCUGGGGAUCUGGUUCUUAAUUAGGUGUAUUAAAUAUUAAUUGCUCUGACUAUGUGUUCAAUAUUUCUGGUUGGAGUGAGUAUAAAUAAUUCGGUAGAUGGAAAUUAAGGUGCCCAUUCGUCCCUAGAAGGUGGUAGGUUUUAUGCUCAAUAAUAAUAUUUUUUCUAAAUAUGUUAUGAUACUUAAAAAGCAUUCAAUAGUUUGGCGUUUAUAAAUUUUUUAUUAUUAGAUUUAUUUUUUUGACCAUUUAUUGACGUUAGAUAAUACUCUUUAGCCANUAUUCACCAGGUCAGGUAUUAAUUCAAACUUGCACAUACGUUAAUUAUUACGAAACAGAAUAUAUAUAUUAAUUGGAACUAUAUAUAACCUGCGCAUGCAUAUGGUGGUUGUUUAAUUAAUAUCCAUUUGUUCAUCGAUGUACAAUAGACCAUUAAUUAAUUACACUAUAGAGGAAGUGGAAGCUACUAGUCUCGUGAUGCACGCUGUUCGGACGAUAAGUCCCUCGAUCGAUCCUGGGGAUCUGAUUCUUAAUUAGGUGUAUUAAAUAUUAAUUGCUCGGACUAUGUGUUCAAUAUUUCUGGUUGGAGCGAGUAUAAAUAAUUCGGUAGAUAGAAAGGUGCCCAUCAGUCCCUAGAAGGUGCAUGGUAGGUUUUAUGCUCAAUAAUAAUAUUUUUUUCUAGGUAUGUUAUGAUACUCGUAAAAGUAUUGAAUAGUUUGGCGCUUAUAAAUUUUUUAUUAUUAGAUUUGUUUUUUUGAUCAUUUAUUGACGUUAGAUAAUACUAUUAAGCCAACCAUCCAAUCAACUCUAAAAUAUUGCUAUUUGAUUAUUUUCCUUCAUUAGAUAAUAUUAUUCAAUCAAUUCCGGGCCCCUAUAUACUCAACCUUUGAGAACUAUUAUUCUCCUAAUUAGCCUCACAUCCUUUCACCCAAGGGUCGAAAAUUUAAUAGCACUAAUGACUUAAUACUAUUAAUAGCUUUAGUUCUCUCUCUAUAUAUAUAUACAUAUAUAAAAAAUUAAAAUAGGCCAUUCUGAAUAAAAUACCCGUUAAUAUGACAAGGAAAAAAUGAUGACUUUUAGAUGAUCAGUAGAGUAUAAAAUACACCCCAAUUUAGGAUUGUUAGUUGUAUUGCUUAACGUGUCAAAAUUUUUAUAUUUUAAUAAAGUCACUAUUUUAUCCUUAGUCGUAAUAAGCAAUUAAUGUUGACCAAUUUGCUUGGAUAGUGAGACCAAACUCUACUACGUAGGUACCUUUUAUUAGUAAAUUAAAGCUGUUUAAUCUAUUUCGGUUUCUUUCAUAAUAUUUUUUUUAUUACUAAUUAGAGGGAUUAAUAUGUAAUAUUCUAAACCUAAUCAUAGCAUAUAUAUUUUUUAUUGCUCCUUUUUUACUCGGAGUUACAAAUAAAAAUUCGGAAUCUGCUUUGCAAGGUGUACAUGUCUAUACGCCAUCUGUGGGCAUCAUCGAAUCAAAAUAAAUAAAUAAAUACUUAAAUAAUUAAAAAGAUGAACUUCACCGAGACAAUUCUAGUUGUGUAAACAAUAAAAUUGACUGACUAAUUAUAUUUAAAAAGUUUUAUAUACGCCAUAUAGAAUUCUUCUUAAGCGGAAACAUAUAUAAUAAAUGAUCGUUCAACGGUGGAGAAUAAUAAUCAAAUUCAAAUGGAUGUAUAGUAAUCAGCAGCGAAUAUUGAGUCGCUCAAUUAAAGAUUGAAGACCUAGUUGACUCAGCUCCCCAUUAAUUACUGAUUAUGUUAAAUCUUUUAAUUAAUUUAAGGCGAUUAUUACUAGUUACAUUACUAUUAUUAUUUUUUAUUUUAUUAGUAUGUUAUCAAUCUAAGCCAACACUUACUUUUCAAAUCACUGGUUGUUAUCAUUAUAGUACCAUCAUUAAAGUCAGACAUUCCAAGUCUCGCUAGCUAGCGCGUUCAACAGAGAGGCUUUGAAACCUG